RNAcentral lists this ribosomal RNA (496 nucleotides) under Acinetobacter sp. AaD16b. RNAcentral describes it as "bacterial SSU rRNA". It matches the Rfam family "Bacterial small subunit ribosomal RNA", at positions 45 to 535 of the family's 1533-position model. Lineage: Bacteria; Pseudomonadati; Pseudomonadota; Gammaproteobacteria; Moraxellales; Moraxellaceae. The record is from RNAcentral.
GGCUUAACACAUGCAAGUCGAGCGGAUGAAAGUCGCUUGCUACCGGAUUCAGCGGCGGACGGGUGAGUAAUGCUUAGGAAUCUGCCUAUUAGUGGGGGACAACGUUCCGAAAGGAGCGCUAAUACCGCAUACGUCCUACGGGAGAAAGCAGGGGACCUUCGGGCCUUGCGCUAAUAGAUGAGCCUAAGUCGGAUUAGCUAGUUGGUAGGGUAAAGGCCUACCAAGGCGACGAUCUGUAGCGGGUCUGAGAGGAUGAUCCGCCACACUGGGACUGAGACACGGCCCAGACUCCUACGGGAGGCAGCAGUGGGGAAUAUUGGACAAUGGGGGGAACCCUGAUCCAGCCAUGCCGCGUGUGUGAAGAAGGCCUUUUGGUUGUACAGCACUUUAAGCGAGGAGGAGGCUACCUAGAUUAAUACUUUAGGAUAGUGGACGUUACUCGCAGAAUAAGCACCGGCUAACUCUGUGCCAGCAGCCGCGGUAAUACAGAGGGUGC